UUGCUGCUUUUCAUGGAUCAAAUAUUUCUCAUUGUAAUAGAGUGAUGGCAACCUUAGCAGGUCAUAUAAGUGCGAAAUUUCCCGAACUUAAUAGCAAAAUAGUUCAGUUAUAUGUCAGAACAAGAACUUUUAUACGGAUUAGACAUUUAAACAAAAGAGCCAAAAUUGAUGCAAUGAAACGGAAUUCGGCAAGGAAGAAUCGGCUCUGGUCAGCGUCGUCUUCAGCAUCUUCGACGUAGCUUCUGCAUCAGCUUUGUAAGGUCUGAAGAUGGUUUGAUGGAACUAAAAACAGUCACAAGAAAAGGGAGGAGGUGGCGGUAUCAUCAAUUUGUGCUUAUUCCCAGUCUUACAUGCCACAGAUCAUUCUACCAUCAAUUACUCUCUACCCAGAAGGGUCAGUGUCGGACCAAAGCACUUAGUCAUUUGGGAGUCAUCAUUGAGAGAGGAGGAAGCUGCAGUUUAUUUGGCAUGAAUAAAUGAAGAAAAUUGACAGGUUAUGUA
This is a long non-coding RNA of Schistocerca nitens (vagrant locust), 501 nucleotides long. RefSeq lists it as uncharacterized. The transcript has 3 exons. The record is from RefSeq and is a predicted model, not a curated record. NCBI's taxonomy places the organism in Eukaryota, Metazoa, Arthropoda, Insecta, Orthoptera, Acrididae.